UGGGGAAUAUUGCACAAUGGGCGCAAGCCUGAUGCAGCCAUGCCGCGUGUAUGAAGAAGGCCUUCGGGUUGUAAAGUACUUUCAGCGGGGAGGAAGGGAGUAAAGUUAAUACCUUUGCUCAUUGACGUUACCCGCAGAAGAAGCACCGGCUAACUCCGUGCCAGCAGCCGCGGUAAUACGGAGGGUGCAAGCGUUAAUCGGAAUUACUGGGCGUAAAGCGCACGCAGGCGGUUUGUUAAGUCAGAUGUGAAAUCCCCGGGCUCAACCUGGGAACUGCAUCUGAUACUGGCAAGCUUGAGUCUCGUAGAGGGGGGUAGAAUUCCAGGUGUAGCGGUGAAAUGCGUAGAGAUCUGGAGGAAUACCGGGGGCGAAGGCGGCCCCCUGGACGAAGACUGACGCUCAGGUGCGAAAGCGUGGGGAGCAAACAGG
RNAcentral lists this ribosomal RNA (429 nucleotides) under Chloroflexota bacterium. RNAcentral describes it as "Chloroflexi bacterium partial 16S ribosomal RNA". It matches the Rfam family "Bacterial small subunit ribosomal RNA", at positions 355 to 776 of the family's 1533-position model. Lineage: Bacteria; Bacillati; Chloroflexota. The record is from RNAcentral.